This 323-nucleotide ribosomal RNA is filed under the name uncultured Bacillota bacterium. Its description in RNAcentral is "bacterial SSU rRNA". It matches the Rfam family "Bacterial small subunit ribosomal RNA", at positions 28 to 351 of the family's 1533-position model. Lineage: Bacteria; Bacillati; Bacillota. The record is from RNAcentral.
GACGAACGCUGGCGGCGUGCUUAACACAUGCAAGUCGAGCGAUGAUGUUCCUUCGGGAACUGAUUAGCGGCGGACGGGUGAGUAACACGUGGGUAACCUGCCUCAAAGUGGGGGAUAGCCUUCCGAAAGGAAGAUUAAUACCGCAUAAUAUCUUUUCACCGCAUGGUGUAUAGAUUAAAGGAGCAAUCCGCUUUGAGAUGGACCCGCGGCGCAUUAGCUAGUUGGUGAGGUAGUGGCUCACCAAGGCGACGAUGCGUAGCCGACCUGAGAGGGUGACCGGCCACAUUGGGACUGAGACACGGCCCAAACUCCUACGGGAGCAG